CUCAAUUCUAUUUCUACGCCUCUUUUCCAGUGCCUUGUUCCUGAAUGUGCUUCUGGAAUAUCUGCAAUGCUCCUCCAAGUUAAACCUGGAAAUUGGCUUUCCCAGAAUGAGCACUACUAUGUGGGUACGUGAGUGUGUCUAUGGAAUCCUUGGCCCCUGUCACGCUAAAGAGUCAUCACUCUGGGAAAGAGAGCAACUGCUUUUUCCCCAACCUCUGGUCUUUGGAACAAGCUCCAUUUGGACCAUUGGAACGCCCCUUUGGACGGACCCUUACCCGGACGGAUGGCCAAGCCUCAAGACUCAACGAACGAGAGGACAGGGAAGAAGAGGAGAGAAUGAGAGAGAGAGAAAGAGAGAGAGAGAAAGAGAGAGAGAGAGAGAAAGAGAGGACGAGAGAAAAACCAGAAAAGAGAGGGCUCACUCACUCUAGGUUAUGGGAGACCCAAAGAGGGAAAGAAAAGACAGAGAGAGCGAGAGAGGAGAAGAAGGAGGAGAGAUGGUUGCUCGCAGCCCGCAGCUGAGGCUGCUACGGCUGCGGCAGCUGCAACACUAGCCACUGCCGCCGUUGAGGUUGGCGCAGAUGAUCGAGGGAGAUUGAACAAGGCCUUCUGCAAAAGUUCCAUGAUUGACAGAGAGCCCUUUGGAACUUUGUGCCAACAAAGAGAGAAAGCAGGCUUGAAGCAACAACACCACCGUCGACGACAGAGUUUCACUACAUGACAAAUUGAUGCAAGCACUCCAGGUUCGCUCUUCUACUCUGCCUUUGUAAUUAAGAUCAGAAUAAGACGGAUAAAGUAAAUGAAGCAAUGGCAGUCACACGACAAUUGCUGAAAUAACUGAAGUCACAUAAGCAAUCAAAUCCGAGGAAUAUUUGUCAAUACUAAUAUAUCUUGGAGCACAUAAUGUCUCGAAAACACAGGCACAUCAACACGAGAUUUUUCCCUCGUGUUUCGAGCGUGAAACAAUGUCCUGUUCAGAACGAGUGACAAAUGUGACUGCUUUUCUCUCUGCUCGCAACUUUGUCAAGGCGGGCGUCACCAACAAGAACAAGCGGACCAAACGAGAACAAGAUGAUGAAGCACAAGAAGACGAAGACGACGACGAGGACCGCGAGGACCACGAGGCAAACAGGAACGAACGACCCUCGGAACGAUCCAACGAACGAACGAACGAACGAACGAACCACCGAAAGAACGAUCGCGCCGAGGUGGUCACGAUCACACAAAGCAGGCUCACCUCGGAUGAGGGCUCAAUACUGUUCCAUCCAGAGGACUGUCGCAGGCCCACGUCUCCUCAGUUGCUUGGCUAUCACGCUGCACCGCACAACCCAAGCCCACUAGAGGACAGGGAGGAAAAAGCGAGCGUCGUCCCUGAGUGAAAACCGUGCCCAAGUCCGCGACAUCCCGUUAAGGAAUGCCGUCUGGGAGACAAAAAGCGCGGGUGACGGGAAAUCAAACGACAACCCACGACCAACACCACACCAAAAGUGUCAACUCGGCGGGUAAAUUUGUCACAGUCGGAUGUGACGGUGAUUAUUGUGGAGAUGUCUGUUUAGCUACACAAAGCGUUUGGCUGGAUAUCGAAAACGGAUUGUAAGAUCUGUAUUUCCAGAUGUGUCCCUGAAGGGUCUCUCAUUGGAAGUGUUUUGCACACAUUCGAUUCGGUCACUCCUGCCUGCACUCACCAUUCGAGUCGGUAUCGCCUCAAAAACCAUCCCUCAACCUGGAGCGGCAUUGUUGCGGCUAAUGUUUUUCUGUGGUCUGCUGUCCUUUGUCACCUGUAAUUUUCCAUUGUUCUCG
This is a long non-coding RNA of Tigriopus californicus, 1799 nucleotides long. RefSeq lists it as uncharacterized. NCBI's taxonomy places the organism in Eukaryota, Metazoa, Arthropoda, Copepoda, Harpacticoida, Harpacticidae. The record is from RefSeq and is a predicted model, not a curated record. The transcript is spliced from 3 exons.